This 2321-nucleotide long non-coding RNA is filed under the name Sus scrofa (pig). RNAcentral's name for it is "lncRNA (ENSSSCG00025059565.1)". The record is from RNAcentral. Lineage: Eukaryota; Metazoa; Chordata; Mammalia; Artiodactyla; Suidae.
AGUUCAAAUUGCUUUACCCAACAUGAUACAUCUAGAAAAACAUGAACACGGGAUUCAAAUAUCUAACCCCACACUCUUUUAUUUAUUUGCCUAAAAAUCAAUUGAAUCAUUUUAUAUUUUGUGAUGAUGUUGACUGCAUUUUUAAAAGUUUUUUGUUUUUUGUUUUUGUUUUUGUUUUUUUUUUCUGUCUUUUUGCCUUUUCUAGGGCCACUCCCGCAGCAUAUGGAGAUUCCCAGGCUAGGUGUCUAAUCGGAGCCAUAGCCACCAGCCUAUGCCAGAGCCACAGCAACUCGGGAUCCGAGCCACGUCUGCAACCUACACCACAGCUCACGGCAACACCGGAUCCUCAACCCACUGAGCAAGGCCAGGGAUCGAACUCGCAACCUCAUGGUUCCUAGUCGGAUUCAUAACCACUGUACCACGAUGGGAACCCCCUAAAAGUUUUUACUAUAGUUGAUUUACAAUGUUCUGUCAAUUUCUGCUGCACAGCAAAGUGACAUAGUUUUAUACACACACACACACACACACAUUCUUUUUCUCAUAUUAUCUUCUAUCAUGUUCUAUCACAAUUGAUUAGAUAUAGUUCCCUGUGCUAUACAGCAGGACCUCAUUGCUUAUCCAUUCUAAAUGUAAUAGUUUGCAUCUACCAACCCCAAAUCCCCAGUCCAAUCCACUCCCUCACGCUCCCUCUUGGCAACCACAAGUCUAUUCUCCAUGUCUGGCCUGUGAGUAUGUUUCUGCUUUGUAGAUAGUUUCAUCUGUACCAUAUUUUAGGUUCCACAUAUAAGUAAUAUCAUAUGGUUUUUGUCUUUCUCUUUCUGACUCAUUUCACUUAGUAGGAGAAUCUCUAGUUCCAUCCACGUUGUGGCAAAUGGCAUUAUUUGUUCUUUUUUAAUGGCUGAGUAGUAUCCCAUUGUGUAUAUAUACCACAUCUUAAUCUAUUCAUCUGUUGAUGAAUAUUUAGGUUGUUUCCAUGUCUUGACUAUUGUGAAUAGUGCUGCAAUGAAUAUAGGGGUACAUGUAUCUUUUUGAAUGAAAGUUUUGUCCAGAUAUAUGCCCAGGAGGGGGAUUGCUGGAUUAACCCCACCCUCUUGUAACUACAUCUAUCAUCCUUUGGAUGUCUUUGUUGCUUCCUACCUUUCUUUUUCUCAUAGAGAAUAUUUUCUUCACUCUAACUACAUACAGCCACUAAAGUGACCACUAGCACAUGAAGCUUCUCCAAAACCUGUGAUUUGUGUGCCAUCAACCACCCCUUUGUACAGUUGGAAUAACUAGAUCUUAGAAAACUUAACUAGUCUCAAAUUAGUAAAGUGACAAAGCUGGGACUAGAAAUUAGGCCUUUCUAAUACCAAAGCUCCAACUCUUAAUCAUUAAGCCAUUUGGCUGCAUAAUCCUAAGAGUAAAACAGUUAUGAAUGGAUGGAUGCCUGCUGUUGAGUGUCUGCCAAAAUCUACAUGCCAUAUAAUCCAGAGUAAUACUAAGCCCCAGAUUCAACAGAUCUUUACCCUUCCUCUACCCCCCACCCAGGAUUUUACCCAGUAAACACAGAGUAUCGAAUACCUUCAUACUUGGUGGAAGCAAGGCAGCUCAACAGUUCAGCCUCAGUCUACUUCAGGAGAAAGCAUUUUUUUCAAUGACAAAAUAAGACAAACAUUUCAAGGAAUUGGCUCUCAUUUCCUUGCAUUAUUGCUCUCAUUUGCUCAUUAUAAACAAUUAUUAAAUGUGCUUUUAUUAUGAUGAAGUGGUCUUUGCUUAUAAAAAGGGCUAGCCAGGUCUGCCCUUGCUUGCAUUUGUCUGUAUACAUACACAUAUGGGGAAGAGGAGAAAAAAACUGAUCUUUAAAAUGAAACUAUUGUUAAUGUACAAACAACCAUUAUCCCUGAAGCACAUGGAAUCACCUAAUACGAAAAAAAACAAAAAUAUUGCACAAAUACAGGUUGGAGUGCACCUGUUUCUGAUGAAUAUCAACUUUUUUUUUUUUUUUUAAAAGAGGAGAAUCUAGGGGUCCUAGUGGAAAACAAAAAUGCUACCCUUUAUAAGCAAAAUGUAAUCCAGGCAUGUUGACUAGGAAUGGGGCAUAGUGAUCCAUCUCAGAAUUCUGUAUGAGACUAUGCCUUCCAACGUCACCUUUUAAAGAGAAAGAAAGAACAUAAAAGGACCCUGAGGGAUGCCUUGACAAUGAUUCAAAUAAAACAGGAUCUAGAAACUAUGGUUUGAGAAAUGAGCAUGCCUAUUAUCUGGCCAGCUCGUGUGCAUCACCUUUGCUCCUUACUGCUAUAUAGACUAUUCCUUAGGGACUGGACAACCAUUCAAAUUCACAU